CAGCAGCCGCGGUAAUACAGAGGUGGCGAGCGUUGUUCGGAUUUACUGGGCGUAAAGCGUGCGUAGGUGGUUUUGUAUGUCGGAUGUGAAAGCCUGCCGCUCAACGGCGGAAAUGCAUUCGAAACUGCAAAGCUUGCGUACAGGAGGGGAGAGCGGAAUUCUUGGUGUAGCGGUGAAAUGCGUUGAUAUCAAGAAGAACACCGGUGGCGAAGGCGGCUCUCUGGAAUGUUACUGACACUGAGGCACGAAAGCUAGGGGAACAAACAGGAUUAGAUACCCUGGUAGUCCUAGCUGUAAACGGUGUGCACUUGGUGUGGGGGGAAUUGACCCCCCCCGUGCCGGAGCUAACGCGUUAAGUGCACCGCCUGGGGAGUACGGCCGCAAGGUUAAAACUCAAAGAAAUUGACGGGGGCCCGCACAAGCGGAGGAACAUGUGGCUCAAUUCGAUGCAACGCGAAGAACCUUACCAGGGCUUGACAUGCAGCUGCACGGCCGGUGAAAGCCGGUUUCCUUCGAGGGUGCUGCACAGGUGCUGCAUGGCUGUCGUCAGUUCGUGCCGUGAGGUGUUGGGUUAAGUCCCGCAACGAACGCAACCCUUGUGUUUAGUUGCCACCGGCGGUGAUGAGCCGUCGAGCACUCUAAACAGACUGCCCGUACAAGCGGGAGGAAGGUGGGGAUGACGUCAAGUCAGUAUGGCCCUUACGCCCUGGGCUGCACACGUGGUACGAUGGCCGGUACAGAGGGAUGCAAUACCGCGAGGUGGAGCAAAUCCCCAAAGCCGGCCCCAGUUCGGAUUGGAGUCUGCAACUCGACUCCAUGAAGUUGGAUUCGCUAGUAACGGCGUAUCAGCUACGGCGCCGUGAAUACGUUCCCGGGCCUUGUACACACCGCCCGUCACAUCAUGAAAGCCGUCUGCACCCGAAGUCGCUGAGCCAACUUUUAAGAGAGGCAGGUGCCGAAGGUGUGGGUGGUGAUUGGGAUGAAGUCGUAACAAGGUAACCGUA
Molecule: ribosomal RNA, 1004 nt
Filed under: uncultured Verrucomicrobiota bacterium
Lineage: Bacteria; Pseudomonadati; Verrucomicrobiota
Description: bacterial SSU rRNA
Rfam family: Bacterial small subunit ribosomal RNA
Source: RNAcentral